Molecule: ribosomal RNA, 627 nt
Filed under: uncultured Russulaceae
Lineage: Eukaryota; Fungi; Basidiomycota; Agaricomycetes; Russulales; Russulaceae
Description: LSU rRNA
Rfam family: Eukaryotic large subunit ribosomal RNA
Source: RNAcentral
UAAGCGGAGGAAAAGAAACUAACAAGGAUUCCCCUAGUAACUGCGAGUGAAGCGGGAAAAGCUCAAAUUUAAAAUCUGGUGGUCUUUGGCCAUNCGAGUUGUAAUUUAGAGAAGCGUUUUCCGCGCUGGACCGUGCACAAGUCUCCUGGAAUGGAGCGUCAUAGAGGGUGAGAAUCCCGUCUUUGGCACGGACACACCAGGGCUUUUGUGAUGCGCUCUCGAAGAGUCGAGUUGUUUGGGAAUGCAGCUCAAAAUGGGUGGUGAACUCCAUCUAAAGCUAAAUAUUGGCGAGAGACCGAUAGCGAACAAGUACCGUGAGGGAAAGAUGAAAAGCACUUUGGAAAGAGAGUGAAACAGUACGUGAAAUUGUUGAAAGGGAAACGCUUGAAGUCAGUAGCGUCGACCGAGACUCAGCCUUGCCUUGGCUUGGUGUACUUCUCGGCUGACGGGUCAGCAUCAAUUUCGCCCCUUGGAUAAUGGCGAGGGAAAUGUGACACCUUUAUGGUGUGUUAUAGUCCCUUGUCGCAUGCAAGGGUUGGGAUUGAGGAACUCAGCACGCACCUUUGGGUGUCGGGGCUUUGCCCACGAUACGUGCUUAGGAUGUUGGCGUAAUGGCUUUAAACGACC